AUCUAAAAGGUGUUGAUUUGGAGACUUCACCCCCACAUAUGGGGUCUCAGUGUCUUGAAACCGAUUGAGUUUCUUCUCAUAUUCCUGUUUUUCUUUGCCACAUGUAUGAAAUAGUGAAAUGUGAGCACGUCAGAUAGGAGUGGUCGCAAUGGUCACACCCUUGGAGCAUAACAUGCCUCCUAAAUACAGGUUUUUAGUUACUAAUGGUAGCUUAACAGGCUUAGAACUGUUCUCCACAGUACAGGAAAUCUUGUUCAAAAGGUACUUGAAAGGUGUGACUCGAAUUGUACUUCCAGCCCAUGCUGCUGUGUUUCAUUGAGGCCAAUUAUGAUGCAUCACAUGACCUAAUGAGAGGGAUAUAGUCCCUUGCCUUUUUACCAGCUUAUUAAGGGGUCUGGGGGUGAUGUCUGGAGUGACUUUUUGCUAGCAGUCUGGCAGUGCUGAGUUUAUUCCUCCCAGAGGGAUUCCACCAUGCCAGUGAGGAUUUGGGCUGGCUUGUGGCUGCCUAGUGCUUACAUUUGAUUAAAUUGUUACCUUCUAUCCAUUCAUUGUCCCCUAGUUCCAGCCUUCCAAGCAGUGGCUAUGCCUAUAAGGCCACAGAUGGAGAAGAAAGAAGACUCAGGCAUUUGGGCCAGGUGGCUCUUCCAGGUUCCUGUUUAGCUGGAGUUAAGGGUAGGGCAGUGGGGAAAACUUCGGCGAUGGGCUGGGUCUCCAUUUGUUGAAGAACUGCUCCUCCUAGGCAGUUAGACGGAUUACCAGCAUCUUAUAGUGUUCUCUGGAAGUUUAAGUUGAAAAAGGUGGGUGCCAUUUUUUGUCUGCUAGGAGAGCAACACCCUUUGUCGCCCUCUUUAGUUUGAUGGUUUAAUCAUUUCAGUGGUGAUUUUUUUUUUUUUUUUUGAGGGGAGGAGGGCAAUCUGGAAAUCCCGUUUGCUGUAGAACUUUGAUAUCUAAUAUGGUAGCUAUCCACAUGUGGCUGGUUAAAAUGAAAUUAAGAAUUCAGUUCCUCAGUCAUAGUAGCUGCAUUUCAAGUGUGUAAUAGUCACAGCAGUAGGUAGUGGCUA
RNAcentral lists this long non-coding RNA (1061 nucleotides) under Homo sapiens (human). RNAcentral describes it as "HSALNT0384999". The record is from RNAcentral. Lineage: Eukaryota; Metazoa; Chordata; Mammalia; Primates; Hominidae.